ACCAGUUCCCUUAACGGGACCUUCUUCGGACAGAGGAGACAGGUGGUGCAUGGUUGUCGUCAGCUCGUGUCGUGAGAUGUUGGGUUAAGUCCCGCAACGAGCGCAACCCUUGUCUUUAGUUGCCAUCAUUCAGUUGGGCACUCUAGAGAGACUGCCGAGGACAACUCGGAGGAAGGUGGGAUGACGUCAAAUCAUCAUGCCCCUUAUGUCCUGGGCUACACACGUGCUACAAUGGCUGGUACAAAGAGACGCAAGACCGCGAGGUGGAGCAAAUCUCAAAAACCAGUCCCAGUUCGGAUUGCAGGCUGCAACUCGCCUGCAUGAAGUCGGAAUCGCUAGUAAUCGCAGGUCAGCAAAACUGCGGUGAAUACGUUCCCGGGCCUU
RNAcentral lists this ribosomal RNA (384 nucleotides) under uncultured Eubacteriales bacterium. RNAcentral's name for it is "bacterial SSU rRNA". It matches the Rfam family "Bacterial small subunit ribosomal RNA", at positions 993 to 1382 of the family's 1533-position model. Lineage: Bacteria; Bacillati; Bacillota; Clostridia; Eubacteriales. The record is from RNAcentral.